CCAUGCGUUUUGGCUGUUAAGUUUGGUGAUGUUGGCCUCCCUAAGGAUUUUUCACCCUCUCACAAGGUGUGUCCAGUAAACAGUACAGUCACUGAUCUUUCUCAACUUUUUAAGAAAAUAACAGAAUAUGAAGAAGGAAGACUAUAUAUAGGAUCGAUCUACUUCAUAACUGGAAAAAGAGAAGCAGUUCACAAAUGUUGAUGAGCAGAAGACAAGAAACUCUGGCUGCACAAAAAUCUGAGCUCUUGAAAAAGAAAGAAAAAAAGAAAUGAAAAUAUGAAUGAUAUUCAAUCAAAGGAUCCAAAUGAUGAAAUUCUGGAAAUUUCACAUGGAGAGACAAUAAGGAUUUUUGAAUUGACCAUCUUAAUCUUUGCUCAAACUGCUUGAAAGCACUGAAAACUGUUACCCUGGUGCUGAACAAAUUUUUCUCCUAGACUGGAAUUAAAAACUGUUCAAUUUCUGGCAUUAAAACACAAUUUGAAACAUGCUGAGGAAGGAUCCCCCUCUUCCAUUUGACCAA
This is a long non-coding RNA of Saccostrea cuccullata (small rock oyster), 520 nucleotides long. RefSeq lists it as uncharacterized. The transcript has 3 exons. The record is from RefSeq and is a predicted model, not a curated record. NCBI's taxonomy places the organism in Eukaryota, Metazoa, Mollusca, Bivalvia, Ostreida, Ostreidae.